Molecule: transfer RNA, 73 nt
Filed under: Stegodyphus mimosarum
Lineage: Eukaryota; Metazoa; Arthropoda; Arachnida; Araneae; Eresidae
Rfam family: tRNA
About the family: Transfer RNA (tRNA) molecules are approximately 80 nucleotides in length. Their secondary structure includes four short double-helical elements and three loops (D, anti-codon, and T loops).
Source: Rfam by way of RNAcentral
GCUUUGGUGGUGUAGUGGUCAGCACGCUCGGCACGUAUUCCAGAGAUCCGUGGUUCGAGUCCCGGCGAGGGCA